AAAGACUUGAGAGAGAGAACCAAGGAAACCCAAGAAGCUUUCCUCCUUCCCAUGGUAACCUUUCUUCUUUUCUUCUUGAUUUCCUUUCGUCACUAAGACUUCUAAGAGCUCACCCUUAAGCUCUUCCUUUCCUUAAAUUUCCAGAAAUCCUUCCAAAAAUCUACGGGUUGCCAAGCAAUCUUCCUUCUCCUUCAAAUCCGCAAGCAACUUCAUUUUAGGAACCCGAAAGCUUGAAAGUUUAGGUAAGGGUCUUGGUAUUUUCACGUACUCUCCUAUUGUGUUUACUAGACUUUGAAAAUAUUUAAAAGGUAAUUAAAUUCAUGAUUGUUUGACUU
RNAcentral lists this long non-coding RNA (335 nucleotides) under Carica papaya (papaya). Its description in RNAcentral is "long non-coding RNA (CPAP_LNC001173)". The record is from RNAcentral. Lineage: Eukaryota; Viridiplantae; Streptophyta; Magnoliopsida; Brassicales; Caricaceae.